This 1381-nucleotide ribosomal RNA is filed under the name uncultured bacterium. RNAcentral describes it as "bacterial SSU rRNA". It matches the Rfam family "Bacterial small subunit ribosomal RNA", at positions 18 to 1393 of the family's 1533-position model. The record is from RNAcentral.
CCUGGCUCAGGAUGAACGCUAGCUACAGGCUUAACACAUGCAAGUCGAGGGGCAUCAGGAAGAAAGCUUGCUUUCUUUGCUGGCGACCGGCGCACGGGUGAGUAACACGUAUCCAACCUGCCCUUUACUCGGGGAUAGCCUUUCGAAAGAAAGAUUAAUACCCGAUAGUAUAAUGAUUCCGCAUGGUUUCAUUAUUAAAGGAUUCCGGUAAAGGAUGGGGAUGCGUUCCAUUAGGUUGUUGGUGAGGUAACGGCUCACCAAGCCUUCGAUGGAUAGGGGUUCUGAGAGGAAGGUCCCCCACAUUGGAACUGAGACACGGUCCAAACUCCUACGGGAGGCAGCAGUGAGGAAUAUUGGUCAAUGGGCGCUAGCCUGAACCAGCCAAGUAGCGUGAAGGAUGAAGGCUCUAUGGGUCGUAAACUUCUUUUAUAUAAGAAUAAAGUGCAGUAUGUAUACUGUUUUGUAUGUAUUAUAUGAAUAAGGAUCGGCUAACUCCGUGCCAGCAGCCGCGGUAAUACGGAGGAUCCGAGCGUUAUCCGGAUUUAUUGGGUUUAAAGGGAGCGUAGGUGGACUGGUAAGUCAGUUGUGAAAGUUUGCGGCUCAACCGUAAAAUUGCAGUUGAUACUGUCAGUCUUGAGUACAGUAGAGGUGGGCGGAAUUCGUGGUGUAGCGGUGAAAUGCUUAGAUAUCACGAAGAACUCCGAUUGCGAAGGCAGCUCACUGGACUGCAACUGACACUGAUGCUCGAAAGUGUGGGUAUCAAACAGGAUUAGAUACCCUGGUAGUCCACACAGUAAACGAUGAAUACUCGCUGUUUGCGAUAUACAGUAAGCGGCCAAGCGAAAGCAUUAAGUAUUCCACCUGGGGAGUACGCCGGCAACGGUGAAACUCAAAGGAAUUGACGGGGGCCCGCACAAGCGGAGGAACAUGUGGUUUAAUUCGAUGAUACGCGAGGAACCUUACCCGGGCUUAAAUUGCAGUGGAAUGAUGUGGAAACAUGUCAGUGAGCAAUCACCGCUGUGAAGGUGCUGCAUGGUUGUCGUCAGCUCGUGCCGUGAGGUGUCGGCUUAAGUGCCAUAACGAGCGCAACCCUUAUCUUUAGUUACUAACAGGUCAUGCUGAGGACUCUAGAGAGACUGCCGUCGUAAGAUGUGAGGAAGGUGGGGAUGACGUCAAAUCAGCACGGCCCUUACGUCCGGGGCUACACACGUGUUACAAUGGGGGGUACAGAAGGCAGCUAGCGGGUGACCGUAUGCUAAUCCCAAAAGCCUCUCUCAGUUCGGAUCGAAGUCUGCAACCCGACUUCGUGAAGCUGGAUUCGCUAGUAAUCGCGCAUCAGCCACGGCGCGGUGAAUACGUUCCCGGGCCUUGUACACACCGC